RNAcentral lists this long non-coding RNA (319 nucleotides) under Lupinus angustifolius (narrow-leaved blue lupine). RNAcentral describes it as "long non-coding RNA (LANG_LNC003284)". The record is from RNAcentral. Lineage: Eukaryota; Viridiplantae; Streptophyta; Magnoliopsida; Fabales; Fabaceae.
CCCAACCGAACCCAACCAUCCCUAAAUCAUCUCAUCUCCCAUUGAUCCGAAACCAUACACAUCACUUUACCCUAAACAGCCACAAAUCAUCAUCUACAAUUACAAGCCAAAAACCCUUAACUCAAACCCCCUCCAACCCUAAAAUUACCUAACCAAACCGAGGCCAUAAAACCUCAAACCAUACACAAACCCUAGCCUACUUAUACAACCCCAAACCGAAGCAAAUCAACCCUAAAAUUGCCCUAAUUUCACAAAACCGAAUUCACACAUUCACAAAGCCUAAUUUCAAGCUAAACGAUCCUAUAAUUCUAAGGCAGCC